AGCAGCCGCCCGGUAAUACGAAGGGUGCAAGCGUUACUCGGAAUUACUGGGCGUAAAGCGUGCGUAGGUGGUGGUUUAAGUCCGUUGUGAAAGCCCUGGGCUCAACCUGGGAAUUGCAGUGGAUACUGGGUCACUAGAGUGUGGUAGAGGAUAGUGGAAUUUCCGGUGUAGCAGUGAAAUGCGUAGAGAUCGGAAGGAACAUCUGUGGCGAAGGCGACUAUCUGGGCCAACACUGACACUGAGGCACGAAAGCGUGGGGAGCAAACAGGAUUAGAUACCCGCGUAGUCCCUGUCUCUUAUACC
Molecule: ribosomal RNA, 303 nt
Filed under: uncultured bacterium
Lineage: Bacteria
Description: partial 16S ribosomal RNA
Rfam family: Bacterial small subunit ribosomal RNA
Source: RNAcentral